UACGUAGGGGGCAAGCGUUGUCCGGAAUCAUUGGGCGUAAAGCGCGUGUAGGCGGCCCGGUAAGUCCGCUGUGAAAGUCGGGGGCUCAACCCUCGAAUGCCGGUGGAUACUGUCGGGCUAGAGUGCGGGAGAGGCGAGUGGAAUUCCCGGUGUAGCGGUGAAAUGCGCAGAUAUCAGGAGGAACACCGAUUGCGAAGGCAGCUCGCUGGGACGUUACUGACGCUGAGACGCGAAAGCGUGGGGAGCAAACAGG
This 253-nucleotide ribosomal RNA is filed under the name uncultured bacterium. Its description in RNAcentral is "partial 16S ribosomal RNA". It matches the Rfam family "Bacterial small subunit ribosomal RNA", at positions 524 to 776 of the family's 1533-position model. The record is from RNAcentral.